UUUGCAUAAGGCAGCAGGUUGGCCUUCCGAUAAGGAAGCGUUUCCGGGGGUGGGGCCGUCUCCGCUCAGCCUAGCUGUCACUCGAGGUGUUGGCUGACUGCUGUCUUCGGUGAGUCGCGUCUCGGCUUGUAGGUUCAGAAUUCAAGUUGGGAAGCGUGAUAUCGCUACUGAGACACCAAUAGGGUUCUGGAGGGCACCUCCAAGAAUCCUCCAGAGCUGUCGAAAUUGAGGCUCAAUCAGAAGCCUGGGUACCUGCCGUUCUGGAGAGACAAGACUUACAUCUUAGGACAAAAGGAACACAACAUGGUUUCAAGUAUAAUCCCUAAACCAAAAGUCAUAUGGGUGAACACACUGAGUGCCAGGAACUCAUUGAAGAGUUUGCCUGAGAAAAAAGCCACUUCGAGAUGGAAGUGUCCCCCAGCAAAAGCCACUGAGACAGGAACGUCAUGCAGAUUGAGAAUCCAAAGGUAACAACCAUCUGGCUACUAAGAAUGGGAUGUUUUGCUCUUGAUAUUGUAGAUGACUGAUUUUCAGAAAAUGCAGAAUAAAAAUUAUAGGGGAGUAUAGUAUUUUAUAAGGCAGGCUAAAUGAACUAACUAAACUUUUUUUCUAUCUACAAGUUUCACUUUUUAUCUUAGGCAUUACAGUAAUACAUAGAAUUACAAAAAUAUAAUGGAACUCCAUGUCAUAUCAUAUGCUUCAAUAAUGAUUAAUGUAGAAUUGAAGGGAGGAGGGAGGGGAAGGGGAUGUAAAAAGAAUUAAGAUGUGUUAUGUACAUGUACCAACUCUCCACAA
This is a long non-coding RNA of Heterocephalus glaber (naked mole-rat), 795 nucleotides long. RefSeq lists it as uncharacterized. Lineage: Eukaryota; Metazoa; Chordata; Mammalia; Rodentia; Bathyergidae. The record is from RefSeq and is a predicted model, not a curated record.